CCGCCCUUGUGUUGGGAAUUCCGGUGGGACGUACAGCUAGAAAAACACCUAUACAUUUUCUGCAUCACCAACUGAAUACAUUUAAAUUUCACUUAAUAUUUUUAAUCCUAUUAGUCUGUAUGUGAUACGGAGUAAGUGACAAAAGAGGAGUGGGAGUACAUUUAGCUUUCUGUCAGGUUAUGUUUCCUCUUUGGGUGUCAGAAUGUUAUUUACAUGCUGUUUUCUCAUUCCAGGAUCCUAUUCACAGCCAGGAAGUUUAUUCAUUUGCUUUUUUCCUGCAGUUACAUCAGCUCAUCUCUUUUCAGAUUCUUUUCACUCUCAGUAACAUGCAGAGGAUGAAGUGGUCAGUAUUCUGCUGGUUGGCGUUUUUUGUUUCUCUGGACAUGCUCUCUCAGAAUUGUUUUUCAGAAAAUGGCGCCUGUACAUCCUGUGCUGAAAAGUGUGGUGAAAGCAUGACUAACUGCUGUUUUCAGACUGUGUGGAACCCUGUGCAAAAUGGCACCAAUGAAGACCCCAUUGAGUAAAUAUUUUGACAUAUAUAUGCUUGUCUGAAUAUUUCUGUUUCUGUUUAUUUAUGACUGAUUUUUUAGUCUUUGUU
This 598-nucleotide long non-coding RNA is filed under the name Oreochromis niloticus (Nile tilapia). RNAcentral describes it as "lncRNA (ENSONIG00000039830.1)". The record is from RNAcentral. Lineage: Eukaryota; Metazoa; Chordata; Actinopteri; Cichliformes; Cichlidae.